This 443-nucleotide ribosomal RNA is filed under the name uncultured bacterium. Its description in RNAcentral is "partial 16S ribosomal RNA". It matches the Rfam family "Bacterial small subunit ribosomal RNA", at positions 338 to 795 of the family's 1533-position model. The record is from RNAcentral.
CCUACGGGUGACAGCAGUGGGGAAUAUUGGACAAUGGAGGCAACUCUGAUCCAGCAACGCCGCGUGAAUGAAGAAGGCUUUCGGGUUGUAAACUUCUAUCAACAGGGACGAAAGAAAUGACGGUACCUCAAUAAUAAGCCCCGGCUAACUACGUGCCAGCAGCCGCGGUAAUACGUAGGUGGCAAGCGUUAUCCGGAAUGACUGGGUGUAAAGGGUGAGUAGGCGGCGUGGUAAGCGAGAAGUGAAAGCCGGGGGCUUAACCCCAGGACUGCAUUUGGAACUGCCAAGCUAGAGUAAUGGAGAGGAAAGCGGAAGUCCUAGUGUAGCGGUGGAAUGCGUAGAUAUUAGGAAGAACACCAGGGGCGAAGGCGGCUUUCUGGACAUAAACUGACGCUGAGGCACGAAAGCGUGGGGAGCAAACAGGAUUAGAUACCCCAGUAGUC